AAAUUUUAAAAUUAUGGUUUACUAUUAAAAAAAAGUAAACUUCAAAUACCAUUCCGGCGGUUUCGCACUUUCUCAGUUUAGUAUCUCGUGGUUUAAAGUGUAUUAUGUUAGUGUCCUGUGGUUUCAUUUUUAUCUUUUCGUCAAUUUUUUUGUUAAUAUUUCGAUUAUCAAAUAUUCACUUUAGUUUCAACUUUGUCACUGAUUAAAAAAAAAAAAUUACUGAAAUCGAUAAUAAAAAGAUAAAAAUAAAACCAUAUGACACUAAAUUGAUACACUUUAAACUAUAAGGUACUAAAGUGAGAAAGUAUAAAAUCACAGAGCUGGUAUUUGAAGUUUUCUCAUUUUAAAAUUGAGAGCACCAAAUGGUCAAAUUGCUCACCCUUUUUCUAUAAAAAUUUUUUUAAUAUAAUUUUUAUUAUUUUUUAAAAAUAUUUUUAGUGUUAAUUAUAAUUGUGACAAUUGCAUGAAGCAUACUAAGUAAAUUUGUAAUGAUAAAUAAUAUAUUUAAAUUUUGAAGUUAAAAUAUCGUUGACCGACUCAAAUCAAAUAAAUUGAAAGAUCGAACAGUAAAAUCAAAUUUUUUUGAAAAAAUUAGGUGGAAAACUCAAAAUGAUUGGUAGUACAGAUAAAUUUUCUAUUUUUUUAUCCUUUGAAUAAUUUU
This 661-nucleotide long non-coding RNA is filed under the name Ananas comosus (pineapple). RNAcentral's name for it is "long non-coding RNA (ACOM_LNC001513)". Lineage: Eukaryota; Viridiplantae; Streptophyta; Magnoliopsida; Poales; Bromeliaceae. The record is from RNAcentral.